RNAcentral lists this ribosomal RNA (496 nucleotides) under uncultured bacterium. Its description in RNAcentral is "partial 16S ribosomal RNA". It matches the Rfam family "Bacterial small subunit ribosomal RNA", at positions 29 to 507 of the family's 1533-position model. The record is from RNAcentral.
AUGAACGCUGGCGGCGUGCCUAAUACCUGCAAGUCGAGCGAACGGACGAGAAGCUUGCUUCUCUGAUGUUAGCGGCGGACGGGUGAGUAACACGUGGAUAACCUACCUAUAAGACUGGGAUAACUUCGGGAAACCGGAGCUAAUACCGGAUGAUAUUUUGAACCGCAUGGUUCAAAAGUGAAAGACGGUCUUGCUGUCACUUAUAGAUGGAUCCGCGCUGCAUUAGCUAGUUGGUAAGGUAACGGCUUACCAAGGCAACGAUGCAUAGCCGACCUGAGAGGGUGAUCGGCCACACUGGAACUGAGACACGGUCCAGACUCCUACGGGAGGCAGCAGUAGGGAAUCUUCCGCAAUGGGCGAAAGCCUGACGGAGCAACGCCGCGUGAGUGAUGAAGGUCUUCGGAUCGUAAAACUCUGUUAUUAGGGAAGAACAUAUGUGUAAGUAACUGUGCACAUCUUGACGGUACCUAACCAGAAAGCCACGGCUAACUACGUG